This 517-nucleotide ribosomal RNA is filed under the name uncultured Streptomyces sp. Its description in RNAcentral is "bacterial SSU rRNA". It matches the Rfam family "Bacterial small subunit ribosomal RNA", at positions 146 to 675 of the family's 1533-position model. Lineage: Bacteria; Bacillati; Actinomycetota; Actinomycetes; Kitasatosporales; Streptomycetaceae. The record is from RNAcentral.
AGCCCUGGAAACGGGGUCUAAUACCGGAUAUGACACGGGAAUGCAUGUUCCUGUGUGUAAAGCUCCGGCGGUGCAGGAUGAGCCCGCGGCCUAUCAACUAGUUGGUGGGGUAGAGGCCUACCAAGGCGACGACGGGUAGCCGGCCUGAGAGGGCGACCGGCCACACUGGGACUGAGACACGGCCCAGACUCCUACGGGAGGCAGCAGUGGGGAAUAUUGCACAAUGGGCGAAAGCCUGAUGCAGCGACGCCGCGUGAGGGAUGACGGCCUUCGGGUUGUAAACCUCUUUCAGCAGGGAAGAAGCUUUCGGGUGACGGUACCUGCAGAAGAAGCACCGGCUAACUACGUGCCAGCAGCCGCGGUAAUACGUAGGGUGCGAGCGUUGUCCGGAAUUAUUGGGCGUAAAGAGCUCGUAGGCGGCUUGUCACGUCGGUUGUGAAAGCCCGGGGCUUAACCCCGGGUCUGCAGUCGAUACGGGCAGGCUAGAGUUCGGUAGGGGAGAUCGGAAUUCCUGGUG